Molecule: ribosomal RNA, 403 nt
Filed under: bacterium
Lineage: Bacteria
Description: partial 16S ribosomal RNA
Rfam family: Bacterial small subunit ribosomal RNA
Source: RNAcentral
UGGGGAAUAUUGCACAAUGGAGGGAACUCUGAUGCAGCGACGCCGCGUGAACGAAGAAGGCUUUCGAGUCGUAAAGUUCUUUUAUAUGGGAAGAUAAUGACAGUACCAUAAGAAAAAGCCCCGGCUAACUACGUGCCAGCAGCCGCGGUAAUACGUAGGGGGCUAGCGUUGUCCGGAAUCACUGGGCGUAAAGGGUUCGCAGGCGGAAAUGCAAGUCAGGUGUAAAAGGCAGUAGCUUAACUACUGUAAGCAUUUGAAACUGCAUAUCUUGAGAAGAGUAGAGGUAAGUGGAAUUUUUAGUGUAGCGGUGAAAUGCGUAGAUAUUAAAAAGAAUACCGGUGGCGAAGGCGGCUUACUGGGCUCAUUCUGACGCUGAGGAACGAAAGCGUGGGUAGCAAACAGG